RNAcentral lists this long non-coding RNA (608 nucleotides) under Cyanistes caeruleus (blue tit). RNAcentral's name for it is "lncRNA (ENSCCEG00000014674.1)". Lineage: Eukaryota; Metazoa; Chordata; Aves; Passeriformes; Paridae. The record is from RNAcentral.
CUUGUUUUUAAUGGACAGGAAUGUGGGACUGGAGCUGGAAUUCAUUCUGCCCCCUUCUGUUCUUCUCACAGGCACUUCUUCACUGCACUGAGGCAUCCCGAGAGCUUCUGCUGCUGAAGAUGAUACAGUCAGACAGGUUCCUCACAGCUGGAUCCUGUUCAGGUAGGGGUGGUUACACAGACUAGCUUGGUUUAAUUGUAUUUUGAUGUUUGUAAUAUCCCCGCCAUAAAUAAUGUAACUAUUCCAUUCUUGAGUCAAAAAUGUGUCACUUCUGAGCCAGCCCAGUCAUGUGGAGACUACAGAUGACAAAGAUUAACUUCUUUCAUCUUCCUGCUCUUUAUUUUCAGGUCGAUAUGGUCUGCUCUGAAUGACCCAAACAGAAUUGACUUUUCACUAAAAAAUAAAUCACAGAGCUGGUGUAUGGCCACAAGAACUUUGUUGCAGACUGGAUUCAAGAAGAUCUUUGGGUCUUCUAGCAACAAUUCUUCUGCUUCUGUCCUUGAAGGAUUUUCAAAACUGCAGCUACAUGAUUACCAUGGAAUCACCUCUUUUGUAGAUGACUUUCUGCACUGUGGAACCUGUUCUCUUCUCCAUACACAAAGUAAGGA